AACGCACCUUGCGCCUUUUGGUAUUCCGAAAGGCAUGCCUGUUUGAGUGUCAUUUAACAUAAAUCAACCUGCCCCUAGGGGUUCGGCUUGGAAUUGGAGGCCUGUGCUGGCGUCUCGUGCGUCGGCUCCUCUCAAAUGCAUUAGCGGGACUGUGUGGACCGGCUCUGGCUUGAUAGGACUAUCAUGUGUGCCAUUGCUGGGGACUGGACCUGCUUCGAACUGUCCCUCCGAGAGGGACUCUGCCUCGGCAGAACACCUUUGACCUUGACCUCAAAUCAGGUAGGACUACCCGCUGAACUUAA
Molecule: ribosomal RNA, 302 nt
Filed under: uncultured fungus
Lineage: Eukaryota; Fungi
Description: eukaryotic LSU rRNA
Rfam family: 5.8S ribosomal RNA (bases 1-52)
Source: RNAcentral